This 492-nucleotide ribosomal RNA is filed under the name uncultured bacterium. RNAcentral's name for it is "partial 16S ribosomal RNA". It matches the Rfam family "Bacterial small subunit ribosomal RNA", at positions 29 to 523 of the family's 1533-position model. The record is from RNAcentral.
AUUGAACGCUGGCGGCAUGCUUUACACAUGCAAGUCGAACGGUAACAGGUUAAGCUGACGAGUGGCGAACGGGUGAGUAAUGCAUCGGAACGUGCCCGAUCGUGGGGGAUAACGCAGCGACAGCUGCGCUAAUACCGCAUACGAUCUGAGGAUGAAAGCGGGGGACCGUAAGGCCUCGCGCGAUCGGAGCGGCCGAUGUCAGAUUAGGUAGUUGGUGGGGUAAAGGCUAACCAAGCCAACGAUCUGUAGCGGGUCUGAGAGGACGACCAGCCACACUGGGACUGGGAAACGGCCCAGGCUCCUACGGGAGGCAGAGGUGGGAAUUUUGGACAAUGGGCGAAAGCCUGAUCCAGCAAUGCCGCGUGCAGGAAGAAGGCCUUCGGGUUGUAAACUGCUUUUGUACGGAGCGAAAAGGCCCUCUCUAAUACAGUGGGCUCAUGACGGUACCGUAAGAAUAAGCACCGGCUAACUACGUGCCAGCAGCCGCAGUAA